GCCUACGGGAGGCAGCAGUGAGGAAUCUUGCGCAAUGGGGGAAACCCUGACGCAGCAACGCCGCGUGAGUGAGGAAGGUCUUCGGAUCGUAAAGCUCUGUCAGAUGGAAAGAACCGCAUGAGGGCCAAUACCCCUCAUGCCUGACGGUACCAUCAGAGGAAGCACCGGCUAACUCCGUGCCAGCAGCCGCGGUAAUACGGGGGGUGCAAGCGUUGUUCGGAAUUAUUGGGCGUAAAGAGCGUGUAGGCGGCAGGAUGUGUCAGAUGUGAAAGCCAUGAGCUCAACUCAGGAAGUGCAUUUGAAACUGUCCAGCUUGAGUAGGGGAGAGGGAAGUGGAAUUCCUGGUGUAGAGGUGAAAUUCGUAGAUAUCAGGAGGAACACCGGUGGCGAAGGCGACUUCCUGGCCCUAUACUGACGCUGAGACGCGAGAGCGUGGGUAGCAAACAGUAUUAGAUACCCCGGUAGUC
Molecule: ribosomal RNA, 467 nt
Filed under: uncultured Syntrophaceae bacterium
Lineage: Bacteria; Pseudomonadati; Thermodesulfobacteriota; Syntrophia; Syntrophales; Syntrophaceae
Description: bacterial SSU rRNA
Rfam family: Bacterial small subunit ribosomal RNA
Source: RNAcentral